UCUCCAGACUCCUACGGGAGGCAGCAGUAGGGAAUUUUCGUCAAUGGGCGCAAGCCUGAACGAGCAAUGCCGCGUGAGUGAGGAAGGUCUUCGGAUCGUAAAGCUCUGUUGCAGGUCAGAAAAGAAGGAAAGAGGAAAUGCUUUUCUUUUGAUAGUAACCUGCCAGAAAGUCACGGCUAACUACGUGCCAGCAGCCGCGGUAAUACGGAGGAUGCGAGCGUUAUCCGGAUUUAUUGGGUUUAAAGGGUGCGCAGGCGGCACGGCAAGCCGGCGGUCAAAUCGCGGGGCUCAACCCCGCCCAGCCGUCGGAACUGCCGGGCUAGAGUGGGCGAGAAGUGCGCGGAAUGCGUGGUGUAGCGGUGAAAUGCAUAGAUAUCACGCAGAACUCCGAUUGCGAAGGCAGCGCACCGGCGCCCUACUGACGCUCAGGCACGAAAGCGUGGGGAUCGAACAGGAUUAGAUACCCUUGUAG
RNAcentral lists this ribosomal RNA (472 nucleotides) under uncultured bacterium. RNAcentral's name for it is "bacterial SSU rRNA". It matches the Rfam family "Bacterial small subunit ribosomal RNA", at positions 328 to 793 of the family's 1533-position model. The record is from RNAcentral.